This 253-nucleotide ribosomal RNA is filed under the name uncultured bacterium. RNAcentral describes it as "partial 16S ribosomal RNA". It matches the Rfam family "Bacterial small subunit ribosomal RNA", at positions 524 to 776 of the family's 1533-position model. The record is from RNAcentral.
UACAGAGGUCUCAAGCGUUGUUCGGAUUCAUUGGGCGUAAAGGGAGCGUAGGUGGCCUUAUAAGUCAGCGGUGAAAUCUCUGGGCUUAACCCAGAAAUUGCCAUUGAUACUGUAGGGCUUGAGUAUAGUUGCCGUUGGCGGAAUAUGACAUGUAGUGGUGAAAUACAUAGAGAUGUCAUAGAACACCGAUUGCGAAGGCAGCUGACGAAACUAUAACUGACACUGAGGCUCGAAAGUGCGGGGAUCAAACAGG